AAGGACUUAAGUUAAAUAAACUAAUAACCUUCAAAGUUAUAAUUGAAAGAUUAUCCUUUUAGGCCUUA
This 68-nucleotide transfer RNA is filed under the name Sphenarium purpurascens. RNAcentral describes it as "tRNA-Trp". Lineage: Eukaryota; Metazoa; Arthropoda; Insecta; Orthoptera; Pyrgomorphidae. The record is from RNAcentral.